RNAcentral lists this long non-coding RNA (533 nucleotides) under Homo sapiens (human). Its description in RNAcentral is "HSALNT0181265". The record is from RNAcentral. Lineage: Eukaryota; Metazoa; Chordata; Mammalia; Primates; Hominidae.
AGGAAGGAGCACUGUGCCAGGAGCCAAAGAUGGAGAUGCAUGAGUCACAGUCCAGUCCUCAGGGUCUCCUGGGGAAGGCUCUACACACAAUUUAACACAGGCCUGCCAUCGAAUUCCAACCCUGGAGCUGAGGGAACAGAGAGUUGAGACAGCUGGCCGUGCUUGGGGGUUAGAGAGGCCUCUGGAAGAAGCUGACAUCUGAACAGAAUCUGAAGAGAUCCAUGGAGUUAGGCAGCUGAUGGGGCGAGUGAGGAGAACAGGAUGGUCCAAGCACGGGAGUCGUAUGGACAAGAGGAUGGAGGCAUGAAGCAUCGGAUGCAUGGGAACAACCAUAUGCAGGCAGCAGAGUUAUGAAGAUAACAGAAGCAGUUUUGUGCCAACCAAAGAAGAUGUCACCCAGGGUAAACCAAGAAAAGUAGCUUCUAUCAGGACAAUCCUGUGCUUUGCUGCUGCUCAAAAGUACUGGCUUGCAAAUGGUUAUUUCAUUCACAAUAAGGGGACUGAAUUCUUACAGGGCAAUCUGGUGAUGGGAG